GCAGGCGGUUAUGCAAGACAGAUGUGAAAUCCCGAAGCUCAACUUCGGAACUGCCUUUAAUACUGCCAGUCUAGAGUCCGGAAGAGGUAAGUGGAACUCCUAGUGUAGAGGUGGAAUUCGUAGAUAUUAGGAAGAACACCAGUGGCGAAGGCGGCUUACUGGUCCGGUACUGACGCUGAGGUGCGAAAGCGUGGGGAGCAAACA
This 204-nucleotide ribosomal RNA is filed under the name uncultured bacterium. RNAcentral describes it as "partial 16S ribosomal RNA". It matches the Rfam family "Bacterial small subunit ribosomal RNA", at positions 571 to 774 of the family's 1533-position model. The record is from RNAcentral.